AGAGUUGAUAUUUCAUAAUGUAGGCUUUAAAUUAUUUGUCAACUUGAUUGUAUUUGCAAUUUUCAAAUAACUUUCAGUUUUGUUACAACACGAAGGUAAAGGAUUUGAUUGCUUUGCAUUUGCCGCCUGAUACAGGCGAUUGUAUAGCAUCUAGCGGAGAAAUUCUUUACUGCCUAUCGGCCAUUGCCAUUCAUCGUCUGCUACUGAACUUCUUCAUUUCUCACGUGUUCGGAUUGGAGACGGUCGCCUGUUCGCCAUUUUCCUGGAAUUUGGAAAUUCCUUGUCUAAUUUCCUGACUUCAGAAUUGGUGAGGUGUUAAAUGAUGGUGAGGUGUUAAGAGAUCUGCCAUAUUGACCAGGACUCGUGUUCAUCACCAAAUUAUAUCGUGUAGUAAAUAACCUAUGUUUAGUGAACACAAAGAUUCCAAGUCUGAUUCCUUUUUCUAAGUUGAGACAUAAAAAUUGUUGUAAAAGAUUUUCUUUUUUGAGUUAGGAUUCAUUUUUGACAGGAAAAUAAAAAAAAGUUUUUUUUGGGGGGGGGGAAGGACUUGGAGGUACUUUGGAUUCUUUAAUUUUAUUUCUGAGGGUGGGCGAGGUGGCAAGAUUCAAAGUUAACUGUAAAUUCCUUGACCCUUGUUCUGUGGCGUUGGGGGACAGCGUCAUUUUGAGGUGAUAGAAUUUUCGAGUAUUGUACAUUUCUUUUGUUCAUGUUCCUUUUUUGACUCUUUUAAAGGUUUCAGCCAUGUCAAGCGAUUUCGUAAUGAAAGUUCUCAAUUAGAUAUUGUUUUUUAUUAGCUUGACUUUACUUCUCCCCGAGAUUAGUUGUUCCUGACUAGUAAUUGCUAUUUUCCGUAUCAACUUCUUCCUAAUAGUAAUUGCCACAAUCUUCUCCUGACUGAAUGUCUUGGAUGCAGUUUUAUCACGGCCAUGUUUACAGUUUGACUGAUCGGCGAUUUCACGUAGUCAUACAAUUAACACAGAUUGGGAUAAA
Molecule: long non-coding RNA, 990 nt
Organism: Daphnia pulicaria
Lineage: Eukaryota; Metazoa; Arthropoda; Branchiopoda; Diplostraca; Daphniidae
Exons: 2
Source: RefSeq, a predicted model, not a curated record